GCAUUCUCGAGCACAGAUUCAUCUGCCUUCUAAGCAGACGGUUGAUGGUUUGAAUCCAUCGGGGUGCG
RNAcentral lists this transfer RNA (68 nucleotides) under Prochlorococcus marinus str. MIT 1318. Its description in RNAcentral is "tRNA-Arg". It matches the Rfam family "tRNA". From Rfam's summary of the family: Transfer RNA (tRNA) molecules are approximately 80 nucleotides in length. Their secondary structure includes four short double-helical elements and three loops (D, anti-codon, and T loops). RNAcentral also lists the same sequence under 1 other name. Lineage: Bacteria; Bacillati; Cyanobacteriota; Cyanophyceae; Synechococcales; Prochlorococcaceae. The record is from RNAcentral.